RNAcentral lists this non-coding RNA (169 nucleotides) under Vibrio gallaecicus. RNAcentral's name for it is "Lysine riboswitch". It matches the Rfam family "Lysine riboswitch aptamer". Rfam says of the family: Riboswitches are metabolite binding domains within certain messenger RNAs that serve as precision sensors for their corresponding targets. The record is from RNAcentral. Lineage: Bacteria; Pseudomonadati; Pseudomonadota; Gammaproteobacteria; Vibrionales; Vibrionaceae.
GCAGAAGAGGAGCAUUGCCCAGGCAGAUAUUUUGUGGAACCUCAUUUCCAAUACAAAAUAUUCAGGGGGAGCAAUGCCGAGAUAAUACAAGCAUGUGGGCUCGUGUUAUCGGUUGAUUGGGUUGAAUCCCGUCGACUGUCAUCAUUUCUAUAUGGUGAAGAGCUUCUGA